CGCAAGUCUUUCAGAGCGGCAUGCUUAGGUGGAAAGACUGCAUCUAUGGUGGCUCCGUGUGAGAAGUUAUAAAUGAUCUUGGGUCAUUAUGAACCUAAAGGUCAAGAAUGGAACGAGUAGUUUCAGAAAGGAAGCACAUAGAACUUGUGGAGUGAGCACAAGGCCACCAGCUAAGGGCAUUUUGGAAGCAAGGCAUGCAAUGACCUGAUGAGCAAAUUACCGGGAAGGUGAAUGGUAAUGUGGCCUGGCGUUGCUUGCAUAGAUGAGUCCUGCAUUCUGCCCAGCCUACAGAAUCUGUGGAGUGAGCAGAAGGUGCCCAGUGUGGGGCAGGACUUCUGACUUCUGUCUUCAAGCAGGAAAGUGGCCUGAUGUGCAAAUGGCUUGGGAGAGCUCAUGGUAUGAUCAGGAGCCAAGCUUAAAGCAGGACCUCUAACUGGAAACAAGGCAGUACGUCACCUGACAUGCAGAUGACUUAGAAGAGCCCAUGGUAUGAUCAGGAGCCCAGCUUAAAGCAGAACCUCUAACUGGACGAAAGGCAGGCCGUUUCCUGACUGUUUGGAAGGUGAAUGGUGUGGUGGCCUGGCGUUGCUUGCAUAGAUGGAGACCUGCAUACUGCUCAGCCUACAGUGGCCAUUAUUGAGGGGUAGAGGGACUCUUGCUAAAACCCAGAUCAGAUGUCAAUCCACUGAGCUUGGAUUCUGUUGUUUCUGCUACUGGUCUGAAUGAAUGAGGGAACAUGCAAGGUCAUAAAGACUGAGAUGUUUUUCAGAUUUACAGAGGCAAAUAUGAAGUAGUGUUAUGUCAGAAAUUUGACAAUAAAUAUUUCAACUUGCAA
Molecule: long non-coding RNA, 835 nt
Organism: Alosa alosa (allis shad)
Lineage: Eukaryota; Metazoa; Chordata; Actinopteri; Clupeiformes; Clupeidae
Exons: 10
Source: RefSeq, a predicted model, not a curated record